RNAcentral lists this long non-coding RNA (5153 nucleotides) under Sus scrofa (pig). RNAcentral's name for it is "lncRNA (ENSSSCG00000062229.1, ENSSSCG00105020481.1)". Lineage: Eukaryota; Metazoa; Chordata; Mammalia; Artiodactyla; Suidae. The record is from RNAcentral.
UGAAAAAUACUAUUUUCAAGCAAUGGGUCUUUAGCCAAGUUAACUUCUAUAAAAUAUAUUUUUGCCUUUGGUUAACAAGUGAAUUAAUGUACUUUUAGGUUAUUUGAAGAUUAAAUCACAUUGCCUACACACAUUACAUACUCCAUAAAUGCUGUUAUAGUUACAUACUCCAUAAAUGGUGUUAUAGUCUGCUGUUGAUAAUAAAUAGUAUUAAGCUUGGUGUUAUUUUGGGAGAAUGAAAGAAGGCAAGAUUCUAUACCAAUGCUGGGAUGGAUAGCCAAAGAGGAGGUCAACGGUCCCUCCCCCUCCUUUGAGGUCAGAUAAAGGUGGUUACAUUUGCCAGCACCUAGGUCAAGGUCACCUGUUCCAGAACUGUAGGAGAUGACUGGCAGAAGCAUUAAAAAUGUCCCUUUAGCAAAUCAAAAACACAUGAUUUUAGGCUAGGAAAUGGUAAAGCCAGAAGUAUGGCCUGACUUAGGAAUAUGUUUGAGAUAGUCCAAGUGGAGAAAACCUCUGAAGAUAUUACGAAUGAAGAGAACCUAAAAAUCAACAUGGUGUGUGGGGCUUUGGAGUCACUGUACUGGGGGUACAUUUUUAUAACCGGCUCAUUUUAUCUCAGGCUAUAGAGCUGAAUAUGUUUGCCAACAUUUGACAAAUUUGUAGAUAUCUUGCCCCUUUCAUUUGGACUCUAGUAACUCUACACCAUUCCUUAGCACAGACUUGCUGGAGACACUUAAACUCCUAAAUAAUCAUUUACAGCAAUGACGUCUGGAUGAAUAAGAACCGAGAAAGAUUAAUACUAUAAAACAGUAAUUAAAAAUAAUUUUUACAUAAAGAAAUAUAAUUAUAGAAAUUAUAAGAAUAUCAUUUCUACAUAUAGAAAAAUAAUUUCUACAGAGGAUCUCAUAUUAAACACACGCAAAGGCCUUAAUUCAGCCAUUGCUUUCAUUUGCAUAUUUAAUUUUCCUUGGGAAAUGUCAUGGGUUCAGCUCAUUAACAACUACAUGACUCAAAUGCACAAUCCUGCACUUUCCUUCCUUCCUUUGAUGCCUCUCCCACUUACCCCCAAGGACAAGACAAGAAAAGAGUAGCUAAUUUUCUCAUUAAAAGAGAACAUAGGUGAAAAUAAUAACUAGUUCCAACUACUUGAGAAAUGAUCAGAUCUCAGUAUGCAUAGUAUCUUAGUAAAUCAAGACAAAGUCAUUAUAAUUAUUAUCAAAAAUUCAUUUGGGCAACAAAUCUUUAGACACAUUCACUGCCUUAGCCUCUAGGUACUUCUAUAACCUAACAUAAAAUUUUGUAGCAGAUAAAGGUUUUAAUUUUAAGCCUAUAAAAUUCACUCUUGUAAAUCAUGCACCUACUCAAUUGAUUAAAAAGCUCAUAUAUUGUAUCUGGCAUACAUCUAGAAAGUAUAGUAUUCCCAAAGUUGAUAGAUUUAAGAGUUAGUGAGGAGAGGACUGGGGGGGAUGCUGGAGGCAGAUAUGUUAGACCUGUUGGCCAGAUCACCCUGUCUCUCCUUUUCAUUGGGUGCAUGAACUAUGCAAAGUUUAGUCAAAUCAAAAUUUCAGUAUAAGAGCAUAUCAGCAAGACAUGGUAGAAUCAAAAGUAACCAAAUUAUACUGCCCUUGAAUCUUUCAGCAUGGCACAUCCAAAGGAUGGACAGAGAAGAAUAGAAAAGGAAAGGGAGUAGCAAAGGCUCAACCAUCAACCAGAUGUCAUUUUAAAGACCUCCAUUUAAUUGUCUUCCUAGUCCUUUUAUAAUUGUCUUAGAGUUCAAUAUCUCAUGCAAUGUCAUUCUUACUUUUAUAAACCUGACCUCUUGGAGUAGUUUAUUUAAAUAUUAAAGGGCAACAACAACAACAAAACCCUGAAUUCUAAACAUACUGAAAAAUAAAAAGUAUGGAAAUUGCCCUAAUUUAAAAAUAAGAAAUCCACAUAAGUCCCAGAAAUUCAGAGCAAUACAUUUUGCAAAAUUCAUUGUGUUAGUUCUUUAGAGCAAAUUAACCUGAUUAUAAUUUUCAGCAUUAAAAUACUUAAAAAAUUAGUGAAGGUUUACAUAAUGUCUAGCACUUUUACCAUAAAUUCAUAUUUCUUAUUAUUCUAAAGAAAUUUUCCAUCAGAAUUGAAAAUUUCAGAAAGUAACAAAAACCUAAAGUGUUCUCAGAUGAGAACACUCAUCUGAGGCCAUUGAGGACAACCUGCACCACUAGCUGUGCCCUUGAAAAAGUCCCUUUGCUUCUGGAAAUAAAUGUUUCCUCAAUGAUAGAUUUGGAAUAAUCUUAGAACCAGACAUAUGGUGCCAUUGCAAUGUGAAUCAGAGAAUCAAACAAAUUGUUAACUGAGUAUCUGACACAGAAUGUUCAGUACAUGCCAGUGAAUGAGGUCAUGAUGGUCAUAGGGGGGAGCUAAAAUCUCCUGGUUCCUAUCCACAGACUACUAUCCCAGUUUGCUUAAUGUUGUUUCCCUGUUCCAAAAUUGCUUCUGAUAUAAUUACCUACAAAUCUCCACUCACUUUUUUCUGCUGUCUUCUUUAUCUUUCCAAAAUGAACAGUCAGAACAAAUUUCUGAGUGUUUCAGGGCCAGGAACUUAAGGAGAAACAUGUUUCCACUUUACUCACUUUAAUAAGGAACAAAGAAGGUAUAAUAAAGACUAACUCCAUUUUGUGAUGUUUUACAGCUGACCGCUUUCUGCCUCACCACGCUCCUUGCCCUGCUUUCCCAGUUUGGGCAAACAGAAAGCAAAAGGCCUGGGCCCUCCCUCCUGUGGCCCCAAUCCCUACACACAACAGAAACCCAAGCUUAUCUCCUUUACUUGCUCUCUCAAGCCAUUCUGGGACACCUGUCUUGCUCUGCCUUGAAAGUCUCAUUGUGUAAGAAAUGCUAUCUUUUCAAAUCCUCUUGAUGUGUGUGGCGUCACUGGUCUUGACACCUAAACCAAAUUUUGGGUGGCGUGAGUCCUAAUUAAUGAGUCAUCACAACAGCAAGCACACUCAAUGAAUUUUAUUUUGUUAAUUUGUGGAUUAUUCUCACUUAUCUAAACAAAUGAAUUUCAGGUAAGUUGUCCCAGCAAUCUUUUGGGGUUCAAUUAUGUAAGAAAGAUUCCCAGAAAAACUCUGUCUCGAAAACAUUUUAUUUCUUCACAGAAUAUGUUAAACUUUAAGGAAAAAACAAAAAUAAAAAGCUUUGAAAAGAACCUUUUAUUUAAACUAGUUUCACAACAGAAACACUGAAAAAAAGGUCAUUUUGUACAAUAGAUAUAAAACAGAUUAUUUUAAUGACCUUAUUAGAUUUUUUCUUUUAGCUACAAUAAAAUGCAAGAAUGAUUAUUAUUUUAAGAAAAAUAUUUAGAUUAACAUCUUAGAAGUAAAUGUGUAUAGGACUUUUAGGAAAAUGCCUAUUCCACCAACUACGCCCAAGCAAGAAGUUUUACUAACUUUUCCAAAAGGGAUAUUAUUCAAAUUAACUAGAUUUACAAAACUUUAAUUCUUCAAAAUAUUAGGAAUGUAUAAAUAUUAUUAAAGGUGAGAGAUACUUGUAUAUUCUCAUGCUUUUAAAAUUAUGGGGUAAUAACAAUUUUAUAUAUAUGGAAUCUAUAUAAUUUAAAUAAAAAUUUAAAAUAUAUUUACAUUUAUCAUAAAUUUAGAGCUAUAAAUUCAUAAUGUACAAGAAAGUGAUAUAUGAUAUUUAAUUAAACUCCAACUCAUUUGUUGAGUCCCUCCAAUUUGCAAAGCCCUGUGUUACACAGUGGAUAUAAAAUGGGGAAUGGAAAGGGGUACAAUUCUAAUGCAACUAAAACUACUGUGGAAUGGUAUGGCAUCACUCCAGGUGCAUUUUCCUUAUUCACACUGUACUUCGAUUCCAUCCUUGCAGUGGGAAAAUCCUCAUGAGUGAGCUAAAAUACAGUCUUUCUUGAUAUUUCUAUACUCUGUAUACUAGCUCAAUCUUUAAAGAAUCACCCACAUAAUCGAGUUAAAUGAAAUAUACACUCCUCUCCAAGGAGAUAUGGCAACUGGUCCUCAGGCAAAGUGCCUUACAGGUAAUUUAAAAGGGUACUUUUUUCACUUUGUAGCCCCGAGACAUAAUUGUCAUGAAAGUUAUUAGAAAACAUGUAGGAGAAAAUACUUAUAACACACUUUUUACUUCCCAUAUUAGACUUUGGUUUUCUAGGUAUAGAGUAGACAGAAUAAUAUAUCCUGAAUGUAAUAAUGCAGGUUUUCCCAGCUUCCUGGGAACCCUGUGUACAAACGAAUCAUCUCAAGAGGUUCUGAGGGGCAGCUUAAGGUCAGCAAAGUAAGAGGCUCAGGGCUGCUCCAUUGCAUCUCCUCUGCAAUCAGACAACUUGAGGCUUCAUCUCAUUUGUACACAGUAGUAAGAUUCCAAUUAAGAUCCCAAAAAAGAAAAAAAAAGUGUUGUUUGUGGGAUGUGUGUGUAUGUGUGGUGUUUUACUGAUUUAAAGCUGCUUUAAAGUUAAAACCCUGAUCUGAGUUUCACAUUUCCCCCAGUUAGAAUAAAACCAAAAUUACGUAAUUCUUCAAAAUAGAAUAAGGCUCACUACUGAUUCUAAUGUAUUAUCAUUUUAUGCCAAUCUUUAGGUUUGAAAAUAAAUGUAAAGUUGCAUCGUAUCUUAAUAUAUGAGAAAGGGUUUUCCUGUAACUUUCCACUUCACUUCUCUUUUGAUCAUCAAUCAUUAUUCUCACCAUUCCCCAAUUUGUUCCUCCACUCUGGUGGGUAGUAAGGACACAUAACAAGCUUCAUUAAGGGCAUAUAACCAUCCACGUACACUAAAACUUAAUUGAUCUUUGCAAUAUAGAAAAUAAAAACAGGCACUGCUUCAUGAAAACAGAUAUGAUUUAAAUCUUUGAUUGACACAGUAUUUAGUGAUUUAACAAAUUGGAAUUCCCGUUGUGGCUCAGUGGUUAAUGAAUUCAACUAGUAUCGAUGAGGACACAGGUUUGAUCCCUGGCCUUGCUCAGUGGGGUAAGGAUCUGACGUUGCCCUGAGCUGUGGUGUAGGUCGCAGACACAGCUCAGAUCCUAUGUUGCUGUGGCUGUGGCGUAGACCAGUGCUACAGCUCCAACUUGAUCCCUAGCCUUGGAACCUCCAUAUGCUGCAGGUGUGGCCCUAAAUAGGAAAAAAACAAAACAAAAAAAAAA